This 1380-nucleotide long non-coding RNA is filed under the name Ficedula albicollis (Collared flycatcher). RNAcentral describes it as "lncRNA (ENSFALG00000027936.1)". The record is from RNAcentral. Lineage: Eukaryota; Metazoa; Chordata; Aves; Passeriformes; Muscicapidae.
AUGCACCUUCCCCACAGCUCAGCACCCCACUGCAGAUGUCCCCAAAAGCCACACCCCUGUGGGGACACUGGCCAGAAGGAGCUGAGAGCCACUUCCUUGGAACCAAACUCCUCCCCAGCCACAGUCCAGGGCAGGGGAAGAACACUCCAUUCCCAGCCUCAGUCCCACGAGGUUUCGAGGAAGCUCCCGGUGUGCAAGCAGCUCCAGCUGCUUCCGCCGGGACUGGGGACAGCAGGGCUGGUUGCACAAGGAGAAGAAAACAGCCAGGGCUACCUUCCCACUGCCAGGAGAGCCUUUCCGUGCUGGGGGAAAUGGAGGCACAGACUCAGCUGCGUCACCCACGAGGGUAAACACCAGCUCUCCUGCAGCACAGCUCAGUGCCCCGCCCUGCGGGUCCCCGGGAUGGAAAGGGGUGGGAUGGCAUCUAGCACAGAAAUGGGUGGGGGACACUGCCAAUUGUGGCACCACAGCGUCCCCCGUGGGCAAAGUGUGGCCAUUAGGGGCUGUGUGGGAUGGGGGCUCCUGAGCCCCCUGGGAGUCAGGCCAGGGUCUGGCCCCACUGUCGGCGGGUGUCUGCUCCGGGGGUUGCCCUGUUCCAGUAGCGCACGGCUCCGGGGGCCAAAGCUUUCGGACAACUCAGGUGUCCCACAGAACAGGGGGGUCCCUGCAGGGAGGGACACCGACACCGAUCCUGUCUCCACCGCUGACAGCCGGGGAACCCCCAGCCCAGCCCCCUGCCCUCAGCCCCGGGUCCCCAGGCACUCUCUCCCAUGGCAGCAGGAGAUGGCUCCCGGCCAGCUCCGCUCUGGACGCACCCGCCGAUGGCACAGACUCACGGGUGGGCGGCAGCCUCGCCUCUCCGGGGUGCUCGGCCCUGGCAACUUCCCCGGGCUGGCCGGACUCUGGAUUCUCGCUCGGCAAAGCCCCACCCCGAGUCCUUGCCUGCCUCCCGCAGAGGAGGAGCGUUCGCCGGCGGCCUCUGCCCCAGGAGCUUCGGAGAACCGGCCAGGCCGGCGGGAACCCACGUGGGACGGGCCAAGGGCCCCAGCCCAGCGUGGGAACUGCGGCAGCCCCACGGACGGGCAUCCUAGGAUGGCAUCAGCUGUGUCCCACCCACUGACCCCAUCCUCACAGGCAGCUCCAGUCCCCCGGGCAGCAGCACACCCCGCUGGGGCUCUUGCACAGCCCCGGCAUCCCAAACUCUGGCACGAACCCGCCACUUCACUGAGCCAGGAGCUGGUGACAUGGAGCUGGCACAGCUUUUUGCCCAUUUAUUUUCCAGCUCUUGUGCUGAGGUGGCUAAAACCUGUAGGGCUGCAGAUCCAGAACUGCACACCUGGCACCCCGGGAUCCAGAACCUGGAUCCUACCCAGCAUGUAG